GGAUCCAGACUUUGAUCAUGGCUCAGGACGAACGCUGGCGGCGCGCCUAACACAUGCAAGUCGAGCGGGAAGCUUUUUAAGGAUUCUUCGGAUGAAUUAAAAAGUGGAGAGCGGCGGACGGGUGAGUAACGCGUGAGAAACCUGCCCUAUACAGGGGGAUAGCCAUUGGAAACGAUGAUUAAUACCCCAUAUGACCACAGUAUCGCAUGAUACAGCGGUGAAAACCCCGGUGGUAUAGGAUGGUCUCGCGUCUGAUUAGCUAGUUGGUGGGGUAACGGCCUACCAAGGCGACGAUCAGUAGCCGGCCUGAGAGGGUGGCCGGCCACACUGGAACUGAGACACGGUCCAGACUCCUACGGGAGGCAGCAGUGGGGAAUAUUGCACAAUGGGCGAAAGCCUGAUGCAGCGACGCCGCGUGAACGAUGAAGGCUUUCGAGUCGUAAAGUUCUGUUCUUGGGGAAGAUAACGACGGUACCCAAGGAGAAAGCACCGGCUAAAUACGUGCCAGCAGCCGCGG
This 517-nucleotide ribosomal RNA is filed under the name uncultured bacterium. RNAcentral's name for it is "bacterial SSU rRNA". It matches the Rfam family "Bacterial small subunit ribosomal RNA", at positions 1 to 520 of the family's 1533-position model. The record is from RNAcentral.